CCUUGUUGAAGGAGCUGUUCUAUCUACUGUCAACAUCAUUUCCGCUUUUCGCUGAUGAAUUUCUUUCUUCUGUCGUCUUUUGACAAGAGAACACGUAUGGUGGAUGAGCUGCGGUUAGCUAACAUCCGCUAAGCAACAUGGUGAAUCACCGUAUUCCGUCAGUCUUUUCUAAGACGUAUGUUACACCACGUCGUCCAUUCGAAAAACCACGUCUCGAUGCGGAGUUGAAGAUUAUUGGUCAGUAUGGUCUGCGCAAUAAACGCGAGGUAUGGCGUGUCAAGUACACUUUGGCUAAGAUUCGUAAAGCUGCCCGUGAACUUCUCACACUAGAGGAAAAGGAUGAGAAGCGUCUCUUCCAGGGUAAUGCCCUGUUGCGUCGUCUUGUUCGUAUCGGUGUACUUGAUGAAUCCCGCAUGAAACUCGAUUAUGUUCUUGGUCUUAAAAUCGAAGAUUUCUUAGAACGUCGAUUGCAGACGCAAGUUUUCAAGCUAGGGUUGGCUAAAUCCUACCAUCACGCACGUGUCUUGAUCCGCCAGAGACAUAUUCGUGAGAUUUUGCGAUGGCUUGCUGUCGUAAAUGAUCGUGAGUACCACUUAGAUAUUGGGAAAUCGAACAAGUUUCCUGGUAACUAACGUCUCACAUGAAGUGUUUUUGACACUAGACUGGAUUGAAUUAUUACCUGAGUUUAGCGACGCUGGAUUACAGUUCUCGGAAAGAGUUCGCAAACAGGUCGUCAACAUUCCUUCGUUCAUAGUACGAUUGGAUUCUCAGAAGCAUAUCGAUUUCUCGCUUAAAUCGCCAUUCGGUGGAGGCCGACCAGGACGUGUUAAGAGGAAGAACAUGAAGAAGGGUCA
This is an RNA transcript of Malaya genurostris, 854 nucleotides long. It is a transcript of the gene named small ribosomal subunit protein uS4, with no coding region annotated. The record is from RefSeq and is a predicted model, not a curated record. Lineage: Eukaryota; Metazoa; Arthropoda; Insecta; Diptera; Culicidae. The transcript has 5 exons.